RNAcentral lists this transfer-messenger RNA (60 nucleotides) under Lysobacterales bacterium. RNAcentral's name for it is "partial transfer-messenger RNA". It matches the Rfam family "transfer-messenger RNA", at positions 313 to 374 of the family's 374-position model. From Rfam's summary of the family: Bacterial tmRNA, also known as 10Sa RNA or SsrA, is named for its dual tRNA and mRNA-like properties. Lineage: Bacteria; Pseudomonadati; Pseudomonadota; Gammaproteobacteria; Lysobacterales. The record is from RNAcentral.
CAUGUAGAGCACAAGACGUAGGGCUUGCGGACGGGGGUUCGACUCCCCCCGCCUCCACCA